AGUGAACGCUGGCGGUAGGCCUAACACAUGCAAGUCGAACGGCAGCACAGUAAGAGCUUGCUCUUACGGGUGGCGAGUGGCGGACGGGUGAGGAAUACAUCGGAAUCUACUUUUUCGUGGGGGAUAACGUAGGGAAACUUACGCUAAUACCGCAUACGACCUACGGGUGAAAGCAGGGGAUCUUCGGACCUUGCGCGAUUGAAUGAGCCGAUGUCGGAUUAGCUAGUUGGCGGGGUAAAGGCCCACCACGGCGACGAUCCGUAGCUGGUCUGAGAGCGUGAACAGACAGACUGGAUCUGAGACAGAGUCCAGACUCCUACGGGAGGACGCAGUGGGGAAUAUUGCACGAUGGGGGCAAGCCUGAUCCAGGCAUACCGCGUAGGUGAAGAAGGACUUCUGGUUGUAGAGCGCUUUUGUUGGGAAGGAAAUGCAGCAGGUUAAUACCCCGCUGUUCUGACGGUACCCGAAGAAUAAGCACCGGCUAACUUCGUG
Molecule: ribosomal RNA, 492 nt
Filed under: uncultured bacterium
Lineage: Bacteria
Description: partial 16S ribosomal RNA
Rfam family: Bacterial small subunit ribosomal RNA
Source: RNAcentral